UUUAUUCAUUAUGAAACUUUUCUUUCCACACAAAAAUGACCUACGAACACUCCGGUUGAGUUUGAAGAACAAGAAAAACAGUAGAGGUCUACCAGGUACCUAUGGUUAAACAUGAUGAUCAUAAGUGCAUGUAUCAUUUUGCAGAUUCUCAUCCAGGAUGAUGCAGCUCUACAAUUUCCAUGGAGGUGAUUGAUGAUGAUAAACAAUUGGUGAAGUAGGCCUAAUAGAACAGUGAUAGGACCACAAAGAGAAAUACAACCUGCAGCAGUUAUAUGAGACUGGUGUAACAGAUGUAAGAAAUCCAACGAAUUGAAGAGUGACUUAGCUUAGGAAGCACUUGAUAAAGAUGGAAAAGGUGUUUUUUUUCAAUUCCAAUUUUUUUUUUUUUUAUUAUAAUCACAACCCCAAAUUCAUGAAGUAUGAAAUUUCCUGUCGAUUUUCAUUGAAACUGGUUGCAAAAGGAGAAGCUAUAAACAUACAAACAGAAGCGGCGAAGUGAAGUUGAAAGUGUGGGGGGGGGGCACAGGGAAAAUGCUGUAUUAUGUGAAAUUUUUAAGAAGUUGCGAGAGAGCACAAUUUUGACGUUUUUAAAAAGAAAAUCAAAUUUUGUGAUAGAUUUCGACAAAAUAUUCAGAAUGAUAUAUUUCACCCUUUUUUUUGGGGGGGGGGGGGGCAAGAGUCCUUCAAGCCCCCCCCCCCCUCCUCCAUCUGUAGUGUACGAAACUGCUUAUCUACCCCCACUCACAUGAAUUAUUAAACUUAAUGCACAAAGGAUUUCCUUAUUGUUUUCUUGUUUCAAAGGGCACUCGUCAUGGUGACCAUAAAACGGGUCCUUCUCAGGUGAAAGGGGCACAGAACAAAUUCUUUAGGAGCACUUUUCUUGGGUAAAAGGGGGCAGUUAUUCGAGAAAGGGCACUUACAAGAAGGCGAGGGGGCACUUUUUAACACUUAAAACGGGUCCUCGUCAAGUGAAAGGGACACAGUACACGUUCGUGAGGGGGCAUUUUUCUUACAUAAAAUUAAAGGCACUUUUCAGUGCUUCAAAAAGUAGGGGGAACUGUGCCCCCCAGGAUCGCUGCCCCUGCAUACAAAAAACAUUUUCGUUCGAUUCAAAGUAUUAACAUACGCUUAAGAAAAAAAGUAAGGCUGAAUCCUCUGAUAAUGUGAUAUUUUUUCUGGCUAUUAAUAAAAUUCACAACUAACCAG
Molecule: long non-coding RNA, 1206 nt
Organism: Lytechinus pictus (painted urchin)
Lineage: Eukaryota; Metazoa; Echinodermata; Echinoidea; Temnopleuroida; Toxopneustidae
Exons: 5
Source: RefSeq, a predicted model, not a curated record